RNAcentral lists this ribosomal RNA (243 nucleotides) under uncultured Actinomycetales bacterium. RNAcentral describes it as "partial 16S ribosomal RNA". It matches the Rfam family "Bacterial small subunit ribosomal RNA", at positions 88 to 334 of the family's 1533-position model. Lineage: Bacteria; Bacillati; Actinomycetota; Actinomycetes; Actinomycetales. The record is from RNAcentral.
UACUCGAGUGGCGAACGGGUGAGUAGCACGUGGGUGAUCUGCCCUGCACUUCGGGAUAAGCUUGGGAAACUGGGUCUAAUACCGGAUAGGAGCCAUCUUUAGUGUGGUGGUUGGAAAGUUUUUUCGGUGUAGGAUGAGCUCGCGGCCUAUCAGCUUGUUGGUGGGGUAAUGGCCUACCAAGGCGGCGACGGGUAGCCGGCCUGAGAGGGUGUACGGCCACAUUGGGACUGAGAUACGGCCCAG